GAGUUUGAUCAUGGCUCAGAACGAACGCUGGCGGCAGGCCUAACACAUGCAAGUCGAACGCUGUAGCAAUACAGAGUGGCAGACGGGUGAGUAAUGCUUCGGAAUCUUCCUCGUAGUGGGGAAUAACCUGGGGAAACUCAGGCUAAUACCGCAUACGAACUACGGUUGAAAGCAGGGGAUCGCAAGACCUUGCGCUAUGAGAUGAGCCGAAGUCGGAUUAGCUAGUUGGUGAGGUAACGGCUCACCAAGGCGACGAUCCGUAGCUGGUCUGAGAGGACGACCAGCCACACUGGGACUGAGACACGGCCCAGACUCCUACGGGAGGCAGCAGUGGGGAAUAUUGGACAGUGGGGGCAACCCUGAUCCAGCGACGCCGCGUGUGUGAAGAAGGCCUGCGGGUUGUAAAGCACUUUUAGUGGGGAUGAAAAGCCGAAGGCUAAUACCUUUCGGUCUUGACCUAACCAAAGAAAAAGCACCGGCUAACUCUGUGCCAGCAGCCGCGGU
RNAcentral lists this ribosomal RNA (504 nucleotides) under uncultured Gammaproteobacteria bacterium. Its description in RNAcentral is "bacterial SSU rRNA". It matches the Rfam family "Bacterial small subunit ribosomal RNA", at positions 9 to 521 of the family's 1533-position model. The record is from RNAcentral. Lineage: Bacteria; Pseudomonadati; Pseudomonadota; Gammaproteobacteria.